GAGAGAAAGCAAGGGGAGAACACAGACAUAACAGGCUGGGGGAAACAUGGAAUAAACACAAAGAGAGACGAGAGCUCAUAAAUAGACAGAGGGGCACAAGGGGGUAAGAGUCACAAAGGGAAAAAACACUUAGGGAACACCACAAUAGGACACCUCAGAAAACCUGGCCUAAAUAAGGAGCGAAAAUACAAGGAACCAAGAAUACUGGGCCAACAUGGCCCAGGACCAUGACAGAACUGAAUCCUGUUUAGAAGAUACAAUGCCGGUUUUUCAAAGCCGUGAAUAAAUAUUAGAGGGAAAAUUAGUGAGGGUUGAAGGGGUAGAACAGCUUUGAUUUUUUGAUCUUUAGAAGAAGUGGUUAUAAUGUAGGCUUACACAUACAGAUAUUACAUAGGAGGUAUUUUUAGGAUAAAGGGGGAGCUUAUAAAUAGAAAUGAUUUUUAUACAUAUUGCAUUUUGUGCUUUUAAAGGAGUUGUGGCUCAAAUUUGUCUCUGGAGGGUCACGAGCCUUUGGCUAGCGCUAUGAUUAGCCAAUCUACUGUGAGGAUAAUAUGAGUUCAUGAAGGAUUGCACACGCUUACAGACACAGAGUUAAGAAACACACAUGACAGUAUUGAUUCCAGGCAAAAGGCCUUAAAUUCAUUUAGCUUUUAACUGAACUUAAAGAAGGACCAAAGAGGAAGGAAAGCAUAUAUUUUGGUUAAGUCUGAUAAAUUAGAAUUAGAAGGUAUUGUUACAUUAAAGGAGCAAAAUGAAAUAAAAAGGCUAUACCAAAAUGGGUUAUAACAUAGGAAAUGUGAGGUUAAAAUGAAGUCAACACAUAGGAGUUGUUUUAAGGCAGCAUUUAGCUAUGAUGAAAUGUAUACAGGAGUAAUUGCUUAUAUGCUUAAACUUAAUUGAUUAAAGUGGUUGUUUUCUUUUAGAGUAGAGGAACUUGCAGCAGCGACAAUUUGUGCACAGGAUGUUGAUGAUCAGAUAAGGGAAAAUAGAGCGAGCAACCGGACGUGAAAGCAGGGUUUAAAGAGUUUUAAAGUGAUGAGGAACGUUGAAGAAUGUACAUAAAUAUAAGCCAAUAAGUUAAGAAGAUAAUUAGGAUUAGGCUUUUGAUUAAAGAGUCCCAAAUAGGAUAGGUUAGGGAGAUGCAGGAAAAGGUGUUUUGUUUCUUUUGCAGAAGAUCGAUCUCGGCGACCACAGGAGGGGCGAGGAUCCUGGAGAUCUCGAGGUUCGAGACCACCAGAGGAGGGUCUGCGUGAGGACACAAUGUAUUGUGACCUCUGGUGUUCCAGAGGUCAUGAGAGGGAGUGUCGAGAAGGGAAAUUAUUUUACUGCUAUAGUUAAAUAAUUGUCAUCAUUACCAUUGCAUUAAUAAUAAAAUCUGGAGUAUGAUCAUUGCUUUAACAAUGUAACAGAUAGCUUUAAGAAGGCCUUAAGAUGCUUAUGCACACAGUUAUUAUGUUUAGUAGAGGUUCUUGAUUAAAACAUUUAUUUAGUAAAAGUCAUAUCCAUAGUUUCAGUUCGAUUAUUACACAUACGAGAGUGGUUUCUGUCUCUCUGUCUGGUGAGGGGUCAGGAGCUAGUCGCGAGGUGAAACAGGGUGUAAUUGUGGUUAGCACACAGACGCACACACACACACACUCAGUUAGAGAAUCAUUUAUAGGUGAAAGUUUAAUCAUGUUUUGCUGAUGUUGCAAAGAGCAGUUUGUCGCAGAACUGCUGCGAGCAUCCGGCAGUGACAGGAAGCACCUGUUGUGAAGAUAGGAGACAAUUGUUCUUUUAAACUGUGUCAAAAGUCGUUGUGGUUUUGAUUUGAUCCAUGUAUAAAAUGUGUCUGUGACGUAUGAAGGGGCGUCAGUAAACAAACCCUGAUGCUAUAAAAUAUCUGUUCAUGCUUUGAUUAAGUCGAGGACUACUGGCUGUCUGCGUACAGAGUGUCCUCCCACGCGUGUAUUCAUUAAAAUCAUCGUUUGACUUCA
Molecule: long non-coding RNA, 1973 nt
Organism: Astatotilapia calliptera (eastern happy)
Lineage: Eukaryota; Metazoa; Chordata; Actinopteri; Cichliformes; Cichlidae
Source: Ensembl